AAGAUGUAGUCAUACAUUCGCCAGCUUGUUACACGCCGAAGAGGAGGGAAGAGCCGCGCACUCAAUGCAGCAGAAAGAGACGCAUGACCAACAUAAUGCCACCUUUGCUCACUGGCAAGGGAACCUUCUGGUGGCGUUGAUGGAUGACCAGAAAACUGAGCUCAUGCCAUGCAUCGAAACAUUAUAGCGCUGUAAAUCCUCCAUAUGCAUUUCCUGUAAGGCUUUCGUGCGGUAUAACCUAAACAUAACCUCAACCAAAUUCUAGCUCUUGAGUUAAGAUUAGCGCUGAACAAAUUGUGGAGCACGAUUGGAUAAAAUAACCGGAGAUAUAAGAUUGUGCAGAGAAACACGACUUUCAAACUACGUAGUCAAAUGACAGUUAAAUCACAGUCAAAUCAUAGUCAGAUCACAGUCAGUUAAUAUCGGAAUACAAAUUGAGGUGAGUAACUAUCCGGGAGCUCAACUGCUGGCAAUAGCUAGACCGUUGUUCGCCGGUUCGCUUAAAUCGGUUUCGAGUAAAUAGGUAGAUAUAAAGUAGAUAGAAGUGGCAGCAUACAUAGACGCAAGAUUUUGUUCUUUGUGCACAGUGUACAAAAAUGAUGUGUACCUAACCAUCAUUUGAAGCAGUUUCCUUUUACAUAAGGGAGAGGCACAAACUGAAAUAAAUUGCUGUGCCAGAGUGAGACACAGAAGAGUGCUAUAGGAGCUCUACAUGGGCUUUUUUCUGCCUUCUCUUGUGCCUCUCUUAUUUGUAUAAAUACAUACAAAUGUUCUCUGGCUGUAAACAACUUCACAAAUAGAACAUUUUCUCUGCUAAAUCAUAAAAGCAAUAUUCUCUCUUUUUCAUGCUUUAUUCUCGAAAAGGCCAUAGAUAAAAAAGACACACUGUCUCCCCUUUGGCUGAUGGCAAUGUGAGCAGAAGGGGGAGAGUGUGAGGUGAAUAUAGGAGCAGUCCUUUGACGUCGAUAGCUUUAUAAUGAUGUGAAGAAGAAAAUAGCAAUCUUCUGGGACGAGUUUAAUAAGUGCGUGCCAUUGGCAGAAAUAAGAGAAAAUUUGCCUCUCUUGCAGUCAAAGGCGAAGAAAAAGUGCCAUCGUAUGAUCGCAUAAGGGGACAACAACUGGCGGAAUGUGGCACAGCAGAUGUGUGACUGUUGGGAGAGCGUGCAAUUGUAAUUUCCAAAAUUUAUGCAACUUAGAUAUGCACUAAGGGAAGGGGUGCAAGCGCAAUUCAAGUGUUAAUUCGCCACUGUGACCAAAUGCCUUGUUCCGGUCAUGCAGCAAGCAUGCUCUCGCGCGGUGGACAGAUUGUGGACUUAUCAACGAUCUGGUAGAGUUUCAAGUCAAAGAAUAUUCCAGAAAGUACUGGAAACACGCGUAUCAGAAGUUGCUCGCCUCCGAUAUCGCGUGCUAAUCAACGAUAAAUGCUCCUACAAUUGUGUCAAACCAUACACAGUUGCUCACACACACACACACACACACACACACACACAAAGCCAACCAUUCCAUCUUGAGAUGCUCUGGAAAAAUAUAGCUGCGCAAAGAAAGCGCUUUUUUCUCGCUGUGCUCACUUCAUAUGCGAAGCCUAUCGAGGUGAAGACGGGGCGAGGCGGUGAAGAAGGUGAGGAGAAUCGAGCGAGAGGAGAAAAAAAGAGUGACAAACAAUAUGGAGAGGAAUAUGGGGAAAAAUACUGGGUAGAUCUCUCAUCCGUGGAAUUAUUGUGCGAAAAGAACACACCAGAGAAACUCUCCACACACUCUUUCUGGGCUACGUAAGCCAGGGAGCCCUGGGCCUGGGAUGUUGGAGUCUCAUGCGUUGCACUCUUGAUGACUCUGAGAAAGGACCAACGCAUCGCCACGCACCACUCAUCUCUCGCCCCUUUGUCUCUCACAAAUAUCUGCCAUGACACCAGAAGCGCGAGUGACCAUUUUCAGAUAUGCAAAUUGCCAUCAACAGAAUUUUCCGCUCUUGGCGCGUCCACAAAAAAAAGACCGUCUACUGAAUAUGGGAAUUAAUUUGGAAAAUCACCUCACCAUGUCUCGGUGGAUGAAUUUUGAUUGUUGUCCACCUAUUUUUGUUUGUGAAUCUGACGCAAUAUUGCUCGUAGUGUUUAUCAUUCAAUGAAAAUAAAAUAUAUCCACCGCGAGGGAGGGUAUUUUUAUUCAAAUGUAUAGUGCGCGCCAUUCAGUCAAAAAUGCCUCUGCAGCCAUUCAGAUGGAUUCUAAUAUAUUUGUUUGCGAAGCCAAAAGAAUUUUCGGGCAUGUCUCACAACCAACAACACCGCUGAUAGUCUUGUCAUCGGUUCUGCACAGCCUUGGAGAGGCGGUUGUUGCAUAACUUUGGAUGAAAAGUUCAAGAGAUGUAUAGCAUAUGAUUAAACCC
This is a long non-coding RNA of Phlebotomus argentipes, 2380 nucleotides long. RefSeq lists it as uncharacterized. The transcript is spliced from 3 exons. The record is from RefSeq and is a predicted model, not a curated record. NCBI's taxonomy places the organism in Eukaryota, Metazoa, Arthropoda, Insecta, Diptera, Psychodidae.